Myotis brandtii (Brandt's bat) is the source of this 73-nucleotide non-coding RNA. NCBI's taxonomy places the organism in Eukaryota, Metazoa, Chordata, Mammalia, Chiroptera, Vespertilionidae. The record is from Rfam.
GCUGGUUUGGCUCAGCGGUUAGAGCGUCGGCCUGUAGACUGAAGGAUCACUGGUUUGAUUCCAGUCAAGGGCA